This 26-nucleotide non-coding RNA is filed under the name Cricetulus griseus (Chinese hamster). The record is from RNAcentral. Lineage: Eukaryota; Metazoa; Chordata; Mammalia; Rodentia; Cricetidae.
AAUUGUGAUGUGGAGCUAUUGAUACA